This 301-nucleotide ribosomal RNA is filed under the name uncultured bacterium. Its description in RNAcentral is "partial 16S ribosomal RNA". It matches the Rfam family "Bacterial small subunit ribosomal RNA", at positions 509 to 807 of the family's 1533-position model. The record is from RNAcentral.
CAGCCGCCGCGGUAAUACGUAGGUGGCAAGCGUUGUCCGGAAUUAUUGGGCGUAAAGGGCUCGCAGGCGGUUUCUUAAGUCUGAUGAGAAAGCCCCCGGCUCAACCGGGGAGGGUCAUUGGAAACUGGGAAACUUGAGUGCAGAAGAGGAGAGUGGAAUUCCACGUGUAGCGGUGAAAUGCGUAGAGAUGUGGAGGAACACCAGUGGCGAAGGCGACUCUCUGGUCUGUAACUGACGCUGAGGAGCGAAAGCGUGGGGAGCGAACAGGAUUAGAUACCCCGGUAGUCCCUGUCUCUUAUAC